GACGAACGCUGACGGCGUGCCUAACACAUGCAAGUCAAGGGCAGUUUACUGCACUGGCGCACGGGUGAGUAACGCGUAGAUUACCUGCCUUCUACCCUGUGACAACUUCGGGAAACCGGAGCUAAGCACAGAUGAGGCCUACGGGUCAAAGGUAACGGUAGAAGAUGGGUCUGCGUCUGAUUAGAUAGUUGGUGAGGUAACGGCUCACCAAGUCAACGAUCAGUAGCGGGUUUGAGAGGAUGAUCCGCCACACUGGAACUGAGACACGGUCCAG
Molecule: ribosomal RNA, 274 nt
Filed under: uncultured bacterium
Lineage: Bacteria
Description: partial 16S ribosomal RNA
Rfam family: Bacterial small subunit ribosomal RNA
Source: RNAcentral